RNAcentral lists this ribosomal RNA (2475 nucleotides) under Escherichia coli. RNAcentral's name for it is "partial 23S ribosomal RNA". It matches the Rfam family "Bacterial large subunit ribosomal RNA", at positions 335 to 2798 of the family's 2925-position model. Lineage: Bacteria; Pseudomonadati; Pseudomonadota; Gammaproteobacteria; Enterobacterales; Enterobacteriaceae. The record is from RNAcentral.
GAAGCGUCUGGAAAGGCGCGCGAUACAGGGUGACAGCCCCGUACACAAAAAUGCACAUACUGUGAGCUCGAUGAGUAGGGCGGGACACGUGGUAUCCUGUCUGAAUAUGGGGGGACCAUCCUCCAAGGCUAAAUACUCCUGACUGACCGAUAGUGAACCAGUACCGUGAGGGAAAGGCGAAAAGAACCCCGGCGAGGGGAGUGAAAAAGAACCUGAAACCGUGUACGUACAAGCAGUGGGAGCACGCUUAGGCGUGUGACUGCGUACCUUUUGUAUAAUGGGUCAGCGACUUAUAUUCUGUAGCAAGGUUAACCGAAUAGGGGAGCCGAAGGGAAACCGAGUCUUAACUGGGCGUUAAGUUGCAGGGUAUAGACCCGAAACCCGGUGAUCUAGCCAUGGGCAGGUUGAAGGUUGGGUAACACUAACUGGAGGACCGAACCGACUAAUGUUGAAAAAUUAGCGGAUGACUUGUGGCUGGGGGUGAAAGGCCAAUCAAACCGGGAGAUAGCUGGUUCUCCCCGAAAGCUAUUUAGGUAGCGCCUCGUGAAUUCAUCUCCGGGGGUAGAGCACUGUUUCGGCAAGGGGGUCAUCCCGACUUACCAACCCGAUGCAAACUGCGAAUACCGGAGAAUGUUAUCACGGGAGACACACGGCGGGUGCUAACGUCCGUCGUGAAGAGGGAAACAACCCAGACCGCCAGCUAAGGUCCCAAAGUCAUGGUUAAGUGGGAAACGAUGUGGGAAGGCCCAGACAGCCAGGAUGUUGGCUUAGAAGCAGCCAUCAUUUAAAGAAAGCGUAAUAGCUCACUGGUCGAGUCGGCCUGCGCGGAAGAUGUAACGGGGCUAAACCAUGCACCGAAGCUGCGGCAGCGACGCUUAUGCGUUGUUGGGUAGGGGAGCGUUCUGUAAGCCUGUGAAGGUGUGCUGUGAGGCAUGCUGGAGGUAUCAGAAGUGCGAAUGCUGACAUAAGUAACGAUAAAGCGGGUGAAAAGCCCGCUCGCCGGAAGACCAAGGGUUCCUGUCCAACGUUAAUCGGGGCAGGGUGAGUCGACCCCUAAGGCGAGGCCGAAAGGCGUAGUCGAUGGGAAACAGGUUAAUAUUCCUGUACUUGGUGUUACUGCGAAGGGGGGACGGAGAAGGCUAUGUUGGCCGGGCGACGGUUGUCCCGGUUUAAGCGUGUAGGCUGGUUUUCCAGGCAAAUCCGGAAAAUCAAGGCUGAGGCGUGAUGACGAGGCACUACGGUGCUGAAGCAACAAAUGCCCUGCUUCCAGGAAAAGCCUCUAAGCAUCAGGUAACAUCAAAUCGUACCCCAAACCGACACAGGUGGUCAGGUAGAGAAUACCAAGGCGCUUGAGAGAACUCGGGUGAAGGAACUAGGCAAAAUGGUGCCGUAACUUCGGGAGAAGGCACGCUGAUAUGUAGGUGAAGUCCCUCGCGGAUGGAGCUGAAAUCAGUCGAAGAUACCAGCUGGCUGCAACUGUUUAUUAAAAACACAGCACUGUGCAAACACGAAAGUGGACGUAUACGGUGUGACGCCUGCCCGGUGCCGGAAGGUUAAUUGAUGGGGUCAGCGCAAGCGAAGCUCUUGAUCGAAGCCCCGGUAAACGGCGGCCGUAACUAUAACGGUCCUAAGGUAGCGAAAUUCCUUGUCGGGUAAGUUCCGACCUGCACGAAUGGCGUAAUGAUGGCCAGGCUGUCUCCACCCGAGACUCAGUGAAAUUGAACUCGCUGUGAAGAUGCAGUGUACCCGCGGCAAGACGGAAAGACCCCGUGAACCUUUACUAUAGCUUGACACUGAACAUUGAGCCUUGAUGUGUAGGAUAGGUGGGAGGCUUAGAAGUGUGGACGCCAGUCUGCAUGGAGCCGACCUUGAAAUACCACCCUUUAAUGUUUGAUGUUCUAACGUUGACCCGUAAUCCGGGUUGCGGACAGUGUCUGGUGGGUAGUUUGACUGGGGCGGUCUCCUCCUAAAGAGUAACGGAGGAGCACGAAGGUUGGCUAAUCCUGGUCGGACAUCAGGAGGUUAGUGCAAUGGCAUAAGCCAGCUUGACUGCGAGCGUGACGGCGCGAGCAGGUGCGAAAGCAGGUCAUAGUGAUCCGGUGGUUCUGAAUGGAAGGGCCAUCGCUCAACGGAUAAAAGGUACUCCGGGGAUAACAGGCUGAUACCGCCCAAGAGUUCAUAUCGACGGCGGUGUUUGGCACCUCGAUGUCGGCUCAUCACAUCCUGGGGCUGAAGUAGGUCCCAAGGGUAUGGCUGUUCGCCAUUUAAAGUGGUACGCGAGCUGGGUUUAGAACGUCGUGAGACAGUUCGGUCCCUAUCUGCCGUGGGCGCUGGAGAACUGAGGGGGGCUGCUCCUAGUACGAGAGGACCGGAGUGGACGCAUCACUGGUGUUCGGGUUGUCAUGCCAAUGGCACUGCCCGGUAGCUAAAUGCGGAAGAGAUAAGUGCUGAAAGCAUCUAAGCACGAAACUUGCC